GUGGGGAAUAUUGGACAAUGGGCGAAAGCCUGAUCCAGCCAUGCCGCGUGUGUGAAGAAGGUCUUCGGAUUGUAAAGCACUUUAAGUUGGGAGGAAGGGCAGUAAGUUAAUACCUUGCUGUUUUGACGUUACCGACAGAAUAAGCACCGGCUAACUUCGUGCCAGCAGCCGCGGUAAUACGAAGGGUGCAAGCGUUAAUCGGAAUUACUGGGCGUAAAGCGCGCGUAGGUGGUUUUGUAAGUUGGAGGUGAAAUCCCCGGGCUCAACCUGGGAACUGCCUCCAAAACUGCUGAGCUAGAGUACGGUAGAGGGUGGUGGAAUUUCCUGUGUAGCGGUGAAAUGCGUAGAUAUAGGAAGGAACACCAGUGGCGAAGGCGACCACCUGGACUGAUACUGACACUGAGGUGCGAAAGCGUGGGGAGCAAACAGGAUUAGAAACCCUGGUAGUCC
This 450-nucleotide ribosomal RNA is filed under the name uncultured bacterium. Its description in RNAcentral is "bacterial SSU rRNA". It matches the Rfam family "Bacterial small subunit ribosomal RNA", at positions 354 to 796 of the family's 1533-position model. The record is from RNAcentral.